This 514-nucleotide ribosomal RNA is filed under the name uncultured Basidiomycota. RNAcentral's name for it is "SSU rRNA". It matches the Rfam family "Eukaryotic small subunit ribosomal RNA", at positions 21 to 545 of the family's 1831-position model. The record is from RNAcentral. Lineage: Eukaryota; Fungi; Basidiomycota.
UUGUAGUCAUAUGCUUGUCUCAAAGAUUAAGCCAUGCAUGUCUAAGUAUGAGCAACUUUGUACUGUGAAACUGCGAAUGGCUCAUUAAAUCAGUUAUAGUUUAUUUGAUGGUUUUUGCUACAUGGAUAACUGUGGUAAUUCUAGAGCUAAUACAUGCAUCCAAGCCCCGACUUCUGGAAGGGGUGUAUUUAUUAGAUAAAAAUCAACUUUGUUGGUGAAUCAUAAUAACUUCUCGGACCGCAUGGCCUCGUGCUGGCGGUGCUUCAUUCAAAUAUCUGCCCUAUCAACUGUCGAUGGUAGGAUAGAGGCCUACCAUGGUUGCAACGGGUAACGGGGAAUAAGGGUUCGAUUCCGGAGAGGGAGCCUGAGAAACGGCUACCACAUCUAAGGAAGGCAGCAGGCACGAAAAUUACCCAAUCCCAAUUCGGGGAGGUAGUGACAAGAAAUAACAAUACGGGGUCUUUAUAGGUCUCGCAAUUGGAAAGAGUACAAUUUAAAUCCUUUAACGAGUACC